RNAcentral lists this long non-coding RNA (424 nucleotides) under Mytilus galloprovincialis (Mediterranean mussel). Lineage: Eukaryota; Metazoa; Mollusca; Bivalvia; Mytilida; Mytilidae. The record is from RNAcentral.
AUUUCACAAGAAAACCAUCUGUAGGUGUUUAUUCAUUAUAUUAUUUUGUGUUGUGAAUAGAUUCCGUUGUAACAUUUUAUUGGAAUUUCGUCAAUUUGAUCAUAUACUCAAAUAAUGAUUGCUACACAAAAGUACACAUGGACGGAUGAACAAUAUGCAACUAUUUUAGAACAUCAGGCUUUUCAUACGAAUAUGACUACUUUUUUAAACAAGGUUGUGAUGGAAGGACCAACAAAGACGUUUCCGAGGAAACCAAAGAGUAAUUUAAAACAAGUAAUCAUGACAAAGAAAACAAAGGGAGUACAAAAACAAAGUCAUGAACAACUUCAUGCAUAAUUAGUUGAAAACUUUAUAGAUGCAAAGAAGACGAUAGACAGAGAUGUGUUUCUGUUUAAACUUGAGGGCAUUACCACUGAAGAACAAG